Molecule: ribosomal RNA, 252 nt
Filed under: uncultured prokaryote
Description: partial 16S ribosomal RNA
Rfam family: Bacterial small subunit ribosomal RNA
Source: RNAcentral
UAAGGAAUCUUGGACAAUGGGCGAAAGCCUGAUCCAGCCAUGCCGCGUGAGUGAUGAAGGUCUUCGGACUGUAAAACUCUUUUCUGAGAGAAGAACAGGCGGAGCAGGAAAUGGUUCCGUUUUGCCGGUAUCUCAGGAAUAAGCAACGGCUAACUCCGUGCCAGCAGCCGCGGUAAUACGGAGGUUGCGCGCGUUGUUCGGAAUGACUGGGCGGAAAGGGAGCGCAGCCGGUUCGAUUAGUCUGGAGUGAAA